UGAUAUUGCUUGAUUCUAAAGUCCAAAGGAAAAAUGGGUUUCUAUAUGACAUUCUUGUCUAUUGGAUUGCGUCCCAUUAGUCAGAUAUUUUCAACUCUUAAAAUUUAAUUUUAUGCUUAUGAUUAGUCUCUUCAUCUCCUCCCACUUCUUAAAUUUCAAAAUCUCUCCCCCCUUUUCAAAAACAUUAUUUGUUUAUGAUUUCAAACUUAGACUCUUUUGCAAAUUAGAAAC
Molecule: long non-coding RNA, 231 nt
Filed under: Lathyrus oleraceus (garden pea)
Lineage: Eukaryota; Viridiplantae; Streptophyta; Magnoliopsida; Fabales; Fabaceae
Description: Pisum sativum (pea) long non-coding RNA (PSAT_LNC006204)
Source: RNAcentral